This 420-nucleotide ribosomal RNA is filed under the name Fusobacteriota bacterium. RNAcentral's name for it is "Fusobacteria bacterium partial 16S ribosomal RNA". It matches the Rfam family "Bacterial small subunit ribosomal RNA", at positions 355 to 776 of the family's 1533-position model. Lineage: Bacteria; Fusobacteriati; Fusobacteriota. The record is from RNAcentral.
UGGGGGAUAUUGCACAAUGGGCGAAAGCCUGAUGCAGCGACGCCGCGUGGGGGAUGAAGGCCUUCGGGUUGUAAACUUCUUUUGCUCUGAACAAGGCAUGCCGUUGGGGUGUGUUGAGUGUAGGGGUUGAUUAGCGCCGGCUAACUACGUGCCAGCAGCCGCGGUAAUACGUAGGGCGCGAGCGUUGUCCGGAAUUAUUGGGCGUAAAGGGCUUGUAGGUGGCUGGUUGCGUCUGUCGUGAAAGCUCAUGGCUUAACUGUGGGUUUGCGGUGGGUACGAGCUGGCGUGAGUGCAGUAGGGGAGGCUGGAAUUCCUGGUGUAGCGGUGGAAUGCGCAGAUAUCAGGAGGAAUACCGGUGGCGAAGGCGGGUCUCUGGGCUGUUACUGACGCUGAGGAGCGAAAGCGUGGGGAGCGAACAGG